This 251-nucleotide unclassified non-coding RNA is filed under the name Coturnix japonica (Japanese quail). RNAcentral's name for it is "3' external transcribed spacer". The record is from RNAcentral. Lineage: Eukaryota; Metazoa; Chordata; Aves; Galliformes; Phasianidae.
UGGUCGCGCGCGGGCGCGUGCCAGGCCCUUUCGCCGGUUUUUCCCCAUCCACCUUCCCGCUUCGUGGCGGCGCGGGGGUAGACCUGGGCGACCAUCCACCCGCUCGGUCGGCGGUGCAGUUUCCGUCCGUGCCGCGGGUAGACGUGUCAACCAUGGCGGGGUUGACCUGUCGGCCGGUGCAGUUUCCGUCCGUGCCGCGGGUAGACGUGUCGGCCGUAAGGGGUUGACCUGUCGGCAGUGCCGUUUCCGUC